Long non-coding RNA from Passer domesticus (house sparrow), 2964 nucleotides. RefSeq lists it as uncharacterized. The record is from RefSeq and is a predicted model, not a curated record. The transcript has 4 exons. Lineage: Eukaryota; Metazoa; Chordata; Aves; Passeriformes; Passeridae.
CAUUGGCAGUGUCAACAGAUGGUAUAAAAUUACCACCUUAUGUGUUCUUGAUGCAUAAAACAAUGCCAAAGGAACAGCUGCCUACUGGAAUAGUUGUCAAGUGUCAAACUCAGGAUGAAUAUCUACAAAUUUAGUGAAGGAUUGCCUGAAUGUCAUUUACCAUAGGAUACAUCAGCUACCAAGAGAAACAGGAAUGCUUGUCCUAGAAGCAUUCAAAGAUUAUCUGUUGUCAGCAGUGAAGAUUCCUUGCUAGAGAAGGGAACUCUGAUCUUGUCAUACUAGGAGGAACAAAUGCUACAAAUUCUUUAUAAAAUAGACCAUUCCGUUUUUAUAGUCAAAAUGGAUUCUGGCAUCAGGCCAUGCUUAAACCCCUUCAAGGAAAAUGAAAGAACCUUGUGCCAAACAGUUUUUUCGUUGGAUUAAAAGGAAGAAAUGACAAAGUUAUAGCAAAAUAGGUUAAGAAAGGCUAUUUUUCAAAUCCCAUAGAUGGAAUAGAAGAUAACUGUUAUGAAUUAGAAGAAGGAAUACAGAAUGAUGAAGACAUUGGAAUUGACAAAAAAAGUUGAAGAUCAUAAUCGCAACAUGAGAGAUAAUGAAGAGAUGUGCUUCUGUCACCGGUCACCAGGGAGAAGAGAUCAAUGCCUGCUCGUCAUCUUUCCCUCAUGAGGAAGGUGUAACUGCAGUGAAGUCUCCCCUCAGUGUCCUCCAGGCUGAACAGACCAAGUGACCUCAGCUGCUCCUCAUAUGGCUUCUCCUCAAGGCCCUUCACCACCUUCAUAACCCUUCUCUGGAUGCUCUUUAAUAGCUUAAUCUCUUCUUUACACCAUAGCCCAGGAACAAUACAGAGCCAUUUCAUUUAUCUGGCAGUCCAGGCUGGUAUGACAGGAUUAUGCUGUCUGACAGAAAGUAUAUCUCACACAUCACAGAAGAAUCCAACCACAAAUAUUCAAUGUCCAUUUACCACUAUCAGAGCCAGAAUCUCAUUUAUUCCUACAGUAAUGUGCUAAGCUUUACUUGACUGGAAUAUUCUGUAUAUAUCUUCAUAUCACAGUCUCUCUUCAGAAGUGAAGAAGGUUGGUCCUUUACAAUGCUCAGCAGUACCAUGUGGGCUUGCUAUAGCCUUCAUAUUUUAUCUGCGAGGACCACUAUUUUGGUUGAAGGAGUGGUAGGAAUAAAGGGACAUCUCCCAGGACAUGAAAGAAUCAAAGAAGUUGAGAGGUAUGAAGAGCCUGGGUCCACUUCCUUGCAGGCACUGGGGAUCUGAUGUUCAGUUCUAUCCUACAGCCAUCUCCUCUCCAGGCUGAACAAUCUUGGAUCCAUCAUGCUCUUCUGACAAGGUUGCCCUGUGUGGAGUCAAGAAUUGAAGAACUUCCCAGAUCCCUUCCAAUUUGAGAUAUUAAAUGAUUCUGUGAGAAGGGGCUUUGUACAAGGCAUUCUAGAAUUCAUUGUUGUAAUUGUCCUGGUCACAGACCCUUACCUGACUCCAGAAGUGUCUAGAUAGCACUAGUAUACUGGUGCAUAUGCUAGAAGGACCCUCUGAUAAUAAUGCUGUUUUUGACCUGCUACUCCUAAACUGGUGAUGAAUGUGCCUCGCUCUGGGCUUCAGAAAUCAUAAGACAAUUGAGCCCAGGAUCUUAAGACAGUCUUGGGAAGGAAGCAGAGGAGUUAGGAUUCUGGACUUCAGAAGAAUCAGGCUUAUUUAGGGAAUUUCUAUGUCUAAUUAGGAUUACUCUCUGACAAGUAACCAUAAAGAACAAGGUUGUCCAGGAAACUGAUGAUUUUAUAUUGAUUUUUUAAAAUAAAACCAUAUGAUUUAUGAAAGAACUCAUCAAUAAGUCAUCCUACUGUGGACAAAGAAAAGCAGAAAACCUACUUAAAUAAGGGGUCCUUGUUUAUGAACAAAGACACAAAUACAAAGUAAAACAGAGGAGGAGACUAGGGUAAGAAAGGACCGCACUAAAACUCUUGCUUAAUGUAAGCAGGAAUUCAGUUCUCAGACCUCCAUGUGUACCAUUUCAGUAAGGAGAAACACAGCCUUGAUAGAGUCUAAGGAACUGGUGGCUGAUUAGAACCUGGGAGUUACAGUGGACACCAAGCUGAGUUUGAGCCAACAGUUCACUCACUGCAAAUGGGAUGAACCACUUGCUUCAUUAAGUGCAAGUCCAUCCCAUGGUGCUUCAGUAGGAGUAUGGCUAAAAACGGAUGGAAGGCUCUUCUGCUCAGAAGGCCUGGAAGAGGACACCUGGAAAAUUCAAGAAACUCCAGCAGAAACCUAUCAAGAUGAUCAGGCCUUAACCACAUGGCUCAGGAGGAAAAACUGAGGACACUGGACUUUCUUGGUCUGGGGAAGAGGGGGCUAAGGGAUGCCCUAGCAGCAGAGUCAAGUGCUUGAAUGUUACUUCCAAAGAUGGCAAAACCAAGAGAUUUCCAGUACUGGCAGACUAUGUAACAGUAGAAAAUGGCCAAAAAUCUUAUUGUAAGAGGAACUUGUAUUAGAAAACUUUGGGUUUAGGAGGAUAACCUAAGGCUCAUAAGGAAAAAUCAAAAUAUAAGGAAUAAUUUUUUGAGUAUCAGUGUCUUUGACAUAAACACCUAUGCUUUACCCAUGAAAAUGUGAGGGAUUUCACUAACUUUACAAUUCUUAAUCUUACUUGUAUAGGGAUGCUUCCAAGAACCCUUUCUUCUUAGGAAGAAGGUCUGAUUCUCCAGGCCUGUCAUUUUUGCCUCUUCAAAGCUGAUGGAUUUCUAUAAUAGCAAAAGAGUUCUUUUUGCAUGUAAUCCAGGUGGACAGAUAUAAAUGAUACAAUUGGUCAAAGCAGUUGUGUCUCAGUUGUGUGUUUUAAAAACAGCUCAUUACCUAAUGUACCAUGGAAGAGAGUCAGUCACCCAUGGAUACAGCAUAUAGUGUAUCUCUGGUUCACCUUACAUUCAAAGUCUGUAUAAAUAAACCAGCAUUUGUUUUCA